CACGAAGGGGGAGAGUGACCGAGGGCCACCACGGCCACCACAGCUCCUCCAGCCUGCUGGUGCCCCACUGCGUCCGGCUGCCACUCAUUCUGCGCCACCAGGUCAGGAAUCCUAGUUCAAGCAAAACCUCCUGACUGGGCAAGGGCAGGGCUCGGCCCCCUGAAAGCUGCCAGGACCUGGGAUUUGGGUAGAAGCGGGCCAGAGCUUCAGCAGAGCAGGCAUCUUCUGGACGAGGAGCCAGGCUCUCCGCCCGCCACCCUUGAUUGGAGAAAAGAGGCCCUGAUGUCAUCCCCAGCAUCAGCCAUCUGCCUGCCACCAGCACGGGAGGCGUCUCAGCAGCCCCCUCCCAGGGGCCUUCUUUCUCGGCUUACGGAAUGGAGGGAAAAGCGUGAACAUCGAGAAACAGCAGACAAGCGACCCCCAGGCCUAGCGAAGGUGAGCUGUGUGUGUGUGUGCGUGUGUGCGCCCUUCUCUCCGCUGGACCUGUUGGCAUCUUUCUCUUCCUCUCCACUGGGCUCCACGUAGAUUCAGCUGUUUCAGCCGAAGAGAAGGCUCAUGUAGUUGGGGUUCCAAGUGUGAUUUAGAAGAACCAAUAGCAGAGAAGAAAAGAAAGCUCACAGACAAAUGCUUUUCAUUAUCACGAGACUAGAAACUCGUGAUUAGGUUACUGGCUGAGGGCUGAGCAAAGGUCCCCAUCUCGUGUCCCACAGGAGUUGUCUUCACUGAUUGGGAGCGCCAGCCUCGAAGCCAGAUACAUUGGCACAAUUGUCGAGAUCACGUCUGGAUGACCUGAGCCGUAUUCGAGCUUCUUUGGCAUUUAAUGAACAAAAUUUCCUCCAAAGGCUUACAGUCCGAGAUUAGGAAAGCUAGCACUGAACUCUGUUUAGCUGAUUUACAGGCUGUCAGUUAAGGGGGCAGGCCCCCAAAUUCUCCCAAACUCAGAAAAGUGUCAAAGACCCACACCUGCAAUAUGCCCUCAUGCAAACUAGAAAGGCACACUGGUACGUCUCAUCUGUCAAAUGAGGGCAUUUGACAGAUGGUCUUCCUAGCGACUCACUCUGACUGUAAAAUUCCACGAAUGGACAUAUCUAGAAAUCUAGGGACCAGAUCACAUCAUCCCAAGGGGACAACUAUACCGGAAACACACACUUACUAAUGGCUCUGAAGCAUUAAACGAAGCCUGUCCUAUGGCUCAUACAGUCUGGCUUUGAAUCCGAUUCUUUACGCAAAGAACCCAACUGUAAGUCAAUGUUCUGAGGCUGUCAGAAAGACUGACCUGUCUCUCUCCCUAAUUCCAUCUCUCUUCCUGAGCCAUCCUUGGCUAAGCGGUAUUUCCCAGGUGUGCUGGACCCCAGCAGCUCCCUGGUGCACCUGUAGUUCCAGGCCUUUCCCCAAAACUCUGAUGGCGUUGGUCUGUGUUAGGGCCCAGAAAUCCAUAUUGCUAUCAAGCUGCUUUGAGAGUUCCUGAUUCUGAUGAUUAGACAAACACGGAAAAUCUUGAAUCAACGAUCCUGCCGGCGACCACAGCUGCCCCUUCCCUCCGGGGACAUGAAAUCAAAGGAUGACUCACGAUCACGGCGGGCGACCCUUCCUGGAGCACCGACGGAACGAGUCCCAACAGAACGAGUCCGGGUUAUCUGUGAAGUGUCCACACCAGGGACGCGGGGUUUGAGAACUCGACACUGUGCCGUGGUUUUCUUAGUCCUUCCGUUCCUCUGCCUUCCUGGUCCUGCUGCUUUCUCCUGGUUUCAUUUCUCUUACCUCAUAUCCUCUCACUGGAGAUUCGGUUGGGUUUUUUGGCGGGAUUUUUUUGUUUUGUGUUUUCUUUUUUCUUUUUACAGCUGCACCUGCAGCAUGUGGAAUUUCCUGGGUUAGGGGUCAAAUUGGAGCUGCAGCUGCCAGCUUACACUAUAGGCACAGCAACACUGGAUCUGAGCCACAUAUGUGACCUGCACCACAGCUCAUGGCAAAGCCAGAUCCUUAACUCAUUGAGCGAGGCCAGGGAUCGAACUCAGAUCUUCACGGAGACUUAUGGCAGGUUCUUAAUCCAUUUAGUCAUGAUGAAAACUCCUCAGUUGGGUUUUACGUUAGCUUUCCAGCUAUUUCUACGGCUUUUCAAAAUUAUUUCAUUCCUUUAAAAAUGUGUUUCUGUGUGGCCCCGCCCGUGGCAUGUGGAGGUUCCCCACCCGGGAUCACACCUGAGCCGUAGUCGAGACGAUGGUGGAUCUUUAACUGCUAGGCCCCGAGGGGACACCUACGGUUUUUAUAAAAAUAAUGCCUUCCCGUCUUCUGCAUUUCAAGUGACAUAAUUUACAUCAUUAUUUUUGGAUUUUUAAAAUAUUGUCUCAAUUCACCCUCUUGAUACCACCCUUUAUGAUACUGUGCUAAAUCAUGUCCGUUUUUUUUUAACCAGUCUUAGCCUGGGGGUCUGGCUCUCCAACAGAUGUCUUUGCCAUCCAGCUGUGUUAGCGCUGUCUUGUCAACUAAUCUUGUCAACUAAUUUACACCGGAAGCACAAGGCAGAUAAAUUAAAGUAUCUUUAGUUUACCUAGACUACUUCGACAUGCAUCCAAAAGCAUAAUAAGCAUAAACUAUGGAGAAUAAGUGCCAGAUUUUCUAGACACCAGGAGCAAUACCUUGGAGUUCCUGCCAUGGCGCAGUGGGUUAAGAACCUGACUGUGUUGGCUCAGGUUGCCGUGGAGGUGAGGGUUUGACCCCCGGCCUGGUGCAGUGGGUUAAAGGAUCCAGCCUUGCCACAGCUGCUGUGGAGGUCUUAGCUGUGGCUCGGAUUCAGUCCCUGGCCUGGGACCUUCCAGGUGCUGUGGGUGCGGCCAUAAGAACGGACCAAAUAACGAACGAACCAUUUCUUUCAGAACACGAUGACCCAUAAAUCAGCCGAGAGGGAUUCUCGAAGUAAAACCUAUCUCAGUCGCUUACAUCGGAUGUACUCCAGUGCCAUUGCUAACAUGGAGUUCUCCAGGAGACUGCUGGAGAGAAGCGGCCAGUUUACAGACGCGGACUCGGAGAGCAGAACCCGAGGGCUGGUCAGUGCUGUCGGGGUCUGGAAGCUGCACAGUGAGGCUCUGUCUAAGAUUUGGGCCGAGGGGUGUGGGCAGGGGCAGGUCAGCAGACUGUGCGGUGGAAGUUCUGGUGCACACAGGAGGGCUGCCUGGAAGCAGUGACCACCAUUUACAACUAAGGAUGGAGGAGGGUCCACCGGGGGCUGAACUCUUUCCAUGCGGGAUCUGGAUGUGACCAGAGGACAGAUCCCCCCUUGUUUUAGUUUUAGAAACAUAAAAAUCUAAUCUGGAGUCUGAUUUAAAAAUAAAAAGAAACUCGAGUUCCCACUGUGGCUCAGCGGUAAUGAACCCGACUAGUUCCCAUGAGGACACAGAUUCCACCCCUGGCCUCGCACAGUGGGUUAAGGAUCCGGAGUUGCUGUGACCUGUGGCACAGGUUGCAGAUGCAGCUUGAGUCCCGUGUUGCUGUGGCUGUGGUGGAGGCUGGCGGCUACAGUUCUGACUUGACGCCUAGCCUGGGAACUUCCAUAUGCUGCAGGUGUGGCCCAAAAAAGAAAAAGAAAAAGAAAAAGAAAAAAAGAAAGUCAAAACAAAAAAAAAAAACAAAAAGAAACCAAAGCAGCGCUCACCGUUCUGUGAUUUUUCGGCCGCUUCCCUCAUUGGCUUGAAAAGCCCAGUGAAGCUGCCCCUGGGAGGGCAGGGGGCAGCCCGGAGGAGGUGAGCCCAGGGACUUAAGUGGUAUUUCUUAGCCAUAAGGUACUAUCUUCUAAGAUAGCAAAUAAUUUAUAAUGAAGAUUUUAAACAUGAAUACAUAAAUACACAUUUUAGUGAUCAUUGCUAGUCCGACUUAACCAAAUUCUGUUUUAAAAAUUGUUUCUCACACUUUGAAUGUUAUGACAACAAGUUUAACAGGCAAAACGUAACAUUUGCUUCUGAACGCUGGACCACGUGUUCCCCAGUGGACACAGGCAGCGUGGAGAGCAGCCCCAGGAGAGGAUGGGGCGCCCCCGGCCGGCGGGUCUGGGGCCUCGGCCAGGAGUCCAGCCUCCCCUCAGCUUCCUGAGAUGCGACAGCCUGGCCAGUGGGACAAAAGAUUCCAAUCAAAGGACAAGAGGACACCACACAGCCCUGGGCGGCAUGAUUAACUUACCAGAACACACGAGGGGUGAACCUGCCUCUCCAGGGAUGACCACAGCCCCAGGGACCACAGCACCCCUGACCCUGGAACAAGCCAUUCAGAUGCACCGUGUUGUGGAGGCUAAGACAGCAAGUCGAUAUUGGACUAACUACGUGGAUUAAGAAUGAGACUACAGUAUCCUAUUUAGAUGAAAAGAAUGAAGAAAUGUUGAAACUCCCAAAGAAAUAAUUAAAUGGCAGAUUUCUGCUUCUUUAAUUCAAAAUUAUGAAAACAAUGAUGACCCAGCAAGUAUAUAAUAAUAUAUUUAUUAGAAAUGUGAGAUUUUCAUGCAGAAACCCAGAACCAUGAAUGAGAACCAGUAGAAAUAAGAGUCAGCAGAAUUAUGUUCACAAAAAAUCAAGAUAAUGGAAGUUAGCAGAUGUAGAAAUACAAUAAUAAGAUUAAUAUGGUCAAAUAAACUUUACAAAGAAAUUUUAAAUUACUAAUAAAGAGUAUACUAUGAAAAUGGAUGAAACGUUUGAAAGAACUGCAAUUUUUAGAGUGGAAAACAUAGUAAGUAAAAGUAUUUAACAAGUGGGUUAAAGAGUAGAUUAGGCAUACGUGAAGAUAGAAUUAGUGAACUAUGUAGAUCAAGGGGAAUUAUCCAGAAUCUAGCACAGAGAAACAGAGUGAUGGAAUACAUAACAAAGAAAUAAAGAGCUAUAGAGGGUAGAGUAAGAAAGUGCAACAUUCAUUUAAACACAGUUCCAGGAAGAGUAAUCAAGAGAACGAAGAAGAAGCAGUAUUAGAAGAGAAAAUUCUAAAAUGCCAGAACUGAUGAAAGACACCAAUCCUCAGAUUUAGGGAUCUCAAAAAACCACAAGAGCAAUAGAAUAAAAAAACAAAACAAAACAAAAACAAAAAAACUAAACACCAAAUGUAAGGUGAAGUCCUUUAAAGAAGCCAGAGAGAAAAGACAAGUCACCUACAAAAGAAAAGCAAUUUGAAACCCAGAUGACAUUUCUAUAGAAACAGUCAGCAAAUCCUAGGAAAGCUAUUUUAGUAAAAAGAAAUACAAAAUGCAAAUAGUCCUACAAUUAUUAAAUGAAUUGAAUCCAUAAUUUAAAAACCUUCCCACAAAGAAAAUAAGAAAAACUCUAGGCCCAUAUGGUUUCACUGGUGAAUUUCAAACAAAUAGUUAGGGAAAAAGUAAUGUCAUCUUUUCUAAGUAAAUUCUUCCAGAAAUGGAAAAAGAGGGCAUAUCUCCUGUUUCUUUUUGUAAUGCCUGCAUAAUCUAAAAGGAAAAAACAGGCUGAUCUCACUCAGGAAUGUAGUUGCAAAAUUUUAAAACAAAAUAUUAACAAACUGAACUCUAAUAUUUUGUUCAUUUUAGUAAUUUCUGCUCAUAAUGAAAAUAUAGCAAAUUCCAAAUAAAAAGGAAAAAUUUAAAUCUGGCAAUGUGUUUUUAAAAAUAUUUGUAAGUAAACAAUGUACUGGGAUUCCCUUCGUGUCUCAGCAGUUAACGAACCUGACUAGCAUCCACUUGUAUGCGUGUUUGAUCCCUGGCCUCUCUCAUUGGGUUAAGUAUGCAGCGUCGCAGUGAGCUGUGAUGUAGGUCACAGAUGAGGCUCGGAUUUGGCUUUGCUGUGGCUGUGGUGUAGGCCAGCGGCUGUAGCUCUGAUUCGACCCCUGGCCUGGGAACCUCCAUAUGCCACGGGGGUGGCCUUAAAAAAAAAAAAAAAUAUAUAUAUAUAUAUAUAUAUAUAUAUAUAUAUAUAUAUACACACAGACACACACUUAAUGUUGAAAUACUGAAAUCUUUCCUUUUAAACAAUAGAAAAAGCUGCCUAUUUUUUCCUAUUUCUAUUGAAGCUUGGACUGGAAGUUUGAGAAGUAUAAUAAUAAGCUAUAAAAAGAAAUAAAAUCCGUAAAGCUUGUAAAAGAUAGAAAACUGUCUUUUUUUUUAAAUAGAAAAGUCCCAACACAGAAAAAGCAAGUGAAUAAUUAUAAAUUUCUGGAAAAUGCUUACUUUUAAG
Molecule: long non-coding RNA, 6173 nt
Filed under: Sus scrofa (pig)
Lineage: Eukaryota; Metazoa; Chordata; Mammalia; Artiodactyla; Suidae
Source: RNAcentral